CCAGGGUAACAUUUGUUACCUAGGUAAACUUGUGUCACGGGGGUUUGUUGUACAAACUAUUUUGUCACCCACGUAUGAGGCCUACAUUUUAUGUACUCACUGCAUACAGCUUAAUGAAUUGGAUUCUUAUGGGGUUAGAAAGGAUAAAAAACAUCACCCCUGUUCUCAGGAAGCUUAAAACUGAGUUGAUACUAUAUGCCAUAUACAUGAGAAAAGAGACAAGAAAAUUCAGUCAGCUAUUUAAAUGUAGAAAUUGCCUUUCUUGGAUCACUGCAUAUGAGACACUGCCAGGCAGAUUAAGAAAAAAGGGAACUAGCUUCAAGGUGUGAGAACACAAGACGAGGAGAGUGUGUUUUCUGUGGGUGCUUCCACUAACAGCCUGCAUGCAAACCAUGGAGCUUCAGGGACUCUGGCCACCCCAGAUUCCCAUUUCUUUAGAGCAUGCAGGAAGAACCUUUCAAAAGGUUACAACCAGAGACCUGAAGGAAGCAAGGAAGAAAGCCACAUGGUUGUCAAAGAGAAGAGGAAAGGAGAUCACUAAGCUGGAUGACGUUUUCUGUUUCUUUGAAAACAGAGAAGAUGACAAGUUAGGGAGAGAUCAGAGGUCAUACUGUGAAGCACCUUUGGAUAAACGGCAGGGACUUUGGAUUUUCUUUUUGAAUAUAAGCAUAAUCCAUUGAAAGGUCUCAUGCAGGGAAGUGGCAAAACACUUUUAAAAUUUUUCAUCUUUUCUUUCUGAAGCAGAGUUCACUCUCCAUUUAUUUGUCUUCUUUGAUAUCUCUCAAUAGAAUGUUGCAGUUUUAGUAUUCUCCUAUUAAACAUUUGUUUAACUUUCUUGUUCUUCUAAAUAAUAAUUUAUUCUCCUUAUUUUCAUCAUUAGUGUCCCUGAAAUGCCAGAGUUUCAGACUAGGUCUACUACUCACCACACAAAAAGCCAAUCACUGAGACACAAGUAUUGACAAGUAAGAAGGCUUUAAUCAGAUCCAGGAUUCCCUAUCACUGUACUAGCAGUAAUCAGGCCAGGCCUUGGAAAGCAAGUAAUCUGAUUGGAGUUGCUCAACAUGAAAUUGCCAUGAAGUCAAGUUUCCGAU
RNAcentral lists this long non-coding RNA (1091 nucleotides) under Homo sapiens (human). RNAcentral's name for it is "HSALNT0394846". The record is from RNAcentral. Lineage: Eukaryota; Metazoa; Chordata; Mammalia; Primates; Hominidae.